CCUGACAACCUGGGUUCAAAGUAAAAUAUAGGCAUUAGAACAUUUAACCAGCUUGGUGAUAACAAUAAAUAAAAUGCUUCUUUCCCACAGUCACCCUAAAUAAGAAUAAUCUACUUCCUUUCAGGAAUAUAAUGUUGCAAGGAGAAACCUGCCCACAAGUAACACAAUACUGUCCAUGACAGUAAAUUAAUUGUUUCUUCCCCUCAGUCAUCCCAAAUGAAAGCAAUUGACCCUUCUUCAGGUAUACAGAUUUGCAAGGAAGAGGCUGCACACAGGUUUCAUAGCAAGAAAAAUAUAGAAGAACUAGAUAGACCUUGUAAUAAGUGAACUCAGAGCUGACACAGUUCCAAUAACAAUUUAUUUUCUCCCAGCGUUUCAGCUUGUGGCAUGGCCGACAUUGUUGAUGUGGAAAAAUAAGAGCGAGACGCAUCAUUAAGAGUAAAGAACCACCCAAAAAUAAUGUAUCAGCAUCAUCGUUCAAAAUGAGUCCCCCUAUAAUCAGACAAAAGAAUAUCCAUAAAAUCAGAUUGUAAAUGAUCUGUUGGGCCAAUAUCAAAGUCCAUGAUCCUAACUUUAUUAGCCAGAUAAUCAGUAGCUCUAUUGGCUUCCCAGAAUAUAUGAGUGACCCGAAAAGCUUGAAAGGUGUGCCUCCAAAUAUUCAAAUCCUGCAACAAAGAAUGAAGCAACUUAGCCGUUU
RNAcentral lists this long non-coding RNA (697 nucleotides) under Elaeis guineensis (African oil palm). Its description in RNAcentral is "long non-coding RNA (EGUI_LNC025400)". The record is from RNAcentral. Lineage: Eukaryota; Viridiplantae; Streptophyta; Magnoliopsida; Arecales; Arecaceae.